Molecule: small nucleolar RNA, 78 nt
Filed under: Gossypium barbadense (sea-island cotton)
Lineage: Eukaryota; Viridiplantae; Streptophyta; Magnoliopsida; Malvales; Malvaceae
Also listed under: 2 other names
Description: Small nucleolar RNA R12
Rfam family: Small nucleolar RNA R12
About the family: snoR12 is a C/D box small nucleolar RNA, which acts as a methylation guide for 25S ribosomal RNA in plants. snoR12 has been alternatively named snoZ44 in Arabidopsis and snoZ131 in rice.
Source: Rfam by way of RNAcentral
AGGAGGAUGAUGAAAACAAUCAGACGGAUUCCCAUUGAUUUUUUUCUAUGAGAACAUAACCAGCUACUUCUGACUCUU